This 253-nucleotide ribosomal RNA is filed under the name uncultured bacterium. RNAcentral describes it as "partial 16S ribosomal RNA". It matches the Rfam family "Bacterial small subunit ribosomal RNA", at positions 524 to 776 of the family's 1533-position model. The record is from RNAcentral.
UACGAACCUUGCUAACGUUAUUCGGAAUUACUGGGCUUAAAGGGUGCGUAGGCGGUGCGGAAAGUUGGGUGUGAAAGCCCUCGGCUCAACCGAGGAAUUGCGCCCAAAACUACUACACUAGAGGAAGACAGAGGUACGCGGAACUUAGGGUGGAGCGGUGAAAUGCGUUGAUAUCCUAAGGAACACCGGUGGCGAAAGCGGCGUACUGGGUCUUAUCUGACGCUGAGGCACGAAAGCUAGGGGAGCGAACGGG